RNAcentral lists this long non-coding RNA (1176 nucleotides) under Piliocolobus tephrosceles (Ugandan red Colobus). Its description in RNAcentral is "lncRNA (ENSPTEG00000022915.1)". The record is from RNAcentral. Lineage: Eukaryota; Metazoa; Chordata; Mammalia; Primates; Cercopithecidae.
AUAGUAUUCUCUGAUGGUAGUUUGUAUUUCUGUGGGGUCAGUGGUGAUAUCCCCUUUAUCAUUUUUUAUUGUGUCUAUUUGAUUCUUCUCUCUUUUCUUUUUUUUUUUUUUGAUUAUUAAUGUUUAUUAUAAUCCUACUAUCAAUCUGCCUCCUAACUCCAGCCUCAACAGGCUUUAAAUCCAAAGGCUUAAAUACAUUUGCCAACAUGUCAAAAAGAACCUUUAAUACUUCUUUUGAUUGCCACUUAUGCUUUCUUGCCAGAUGCCUUUGGAGCAGGUGCUUUCUGGGCUGGAGCUUUUUGACCCUUCUGAGCUUUGGGAGCAGGCGCAUCCUUCUGGCUUAUGGCUUUCUGGGCAGGAACCUUCUGGGCUGGAGCCCUUUUACUCACGGUGGUCAUCUUUUUGGCUGGAACUUUAGCAGCAGUAGCAGCAGUACCCUUAGUACCAGGUGCUUUUUUGGGAGAAGCUUUCAGGAGAGCUGCCUUUUGAAGCUUCUUAACUUCAUUCUUGAUUAUUCUGUUCCUCAUUUUCUUUGCCUUCAUAAUUUUAAAACGAUCAAAAUCUGUCAUCUUGGCUUUCCUUUCUCUGGCUUCAAUCUUCUUGGCCCAUCAUGUGACUGCCCAUUUUGUAUUGAUGUCUGCCUUCUGCCAGGCUUGUCGGACUUACUUCUGGCGGGCACUGUGUGGAAAUUUGAGGGUGAAAUCAGUGAGCUGCAUGCACUUGAAAGGCAUGGUCUGUCUCCUCACUUGAGUGCAAGGUCCAUCGACCAAAGCCCUGUUCUGAUCAAUAAUAUCUACAAUCACGACCAAUUUUCCGGCAUGAGGUCCAAAGGAGACGUAGGCCACCCGGCCAACCUCCAUGAAGUGCCUGAACACCAUGUUGGCGGCGUUAGGCAAGAAGGCUCUUUUCUUCUUUAUUAGUCUUGCUAGUGGUCGAUCAAUUUUGUUGAUCUUUUCAAAAAACUAGCUCCUGGAUUCAUUGAUUUUUUUGGAGGGUUUUUUGUGUCUCUAUCUCCUUCAGUUCUGCUCUGAUCUUAGUUAUUUCUUGCCUUCUGCUAGCUUUUGAAUGUGUUUGCUCUUGCUUCUCUAGUUCCUUUAAUUGUGAUAUUAGGGUGUCAAUUUUAGAUCUUUCCUGCUUUUUCUAAGCCAAAAGAACAAAGUUGGAGGCAUCAUGCGA